Hyaena hyaena (striped hyena) is the source of this 1249-nucleotide long non-coding RNA. RefSeq lists it as uncharacterized. Lineage: Eukaryota; Metazoa; Chordata; Mammalia; Carnivora; Hyaenidae. The transcript is spliced from 4 exons. The record is from RefSeq and is a predicted model, not a curated record.
UACUCGGAAAGCCAAGACUAGUGAGUGAGACAGAUGCCAGAUGAUGUAAGGUGAGAAAACAGAUGGGGCCUGGAGGAGCACAGAGCACCACUCACCAGAGAAGCUGUAAGGAGACUCUGGAAGAAUGUGUGUGACGACAGGACCACAGUACAUUCGAGGAGGUACACUAGUGACAUGAAGGUUCUGUGUGUCUGUGAAGCAGAGUGUACCUCAAAGAAGUGGGCUCUACCUGGGAGAGGUGGACUGUGAGGAUCAGCAGAAGAGCUUCCCAAACGUGCUGGACUCCCCACUCCCAUGUUUUCCUCUUUAGUGAGGCUGCAGUGGGGCCCCGAGAUCGGUUUGAACGAGUGUCCAAUGCUGCUAAUGCUGCUGUCAAAGAGCCACACCUUGCGAAGCACACCCUAGAGGGACUUCCCUGUGCGUGAAGGCGCACCACAGCCAGCCUAGAGAGCUCGCCACCCACAUCCAGCUCAAGCUCCACGGCCAAGGCACACACCGAAGGACGUGCUGCCCCUUCUUCAGCUGAGGGCUGAGGGCAACGUCCGCAUCGGAUUGGGGAGCCACCCCUUCCUGAGGCCUCACCUCCACAUCUCCAGGAUCUCCUAGGAGCUUUGGGAAUUAGCAACUAAUGGACCCAUCCUCACUCGGGCAUCUCGGCUGCAGGCUCCUGGGAAGCCAGGCAUGCGGAGAGAAACAAGGUUAUAUACAAAAUGGACCCCAACCAGUGAGGCCUCCUCAUCUCAACCCUUAUCAAUCAGGAUUAAAACUCAGUGCAUGUGUGUGCUUCAUCCAGCGUCUGCAGGCUGCAUCCACGCCUUCAGGCUCUGUUAAGGAGAGUCGUCCUAAAGGACCUUCACUUUCAAAGGAGGCGAUGAAGAGAGCUAAGAGAUGACAAGCCCCUCAGAACCCAUGUCCACAUGCAGUGAGUCUGCCUACUAUACCAGUUGUCCCUUCCUUUCUAGGGGUGCAACUGGGCCUGUCCACAGGUCUCUACUCCCUGAGGUUCUAGAGCUCCCAUCUUUGGGACUGAGAAGUUUCCUGGUUCUGCAGCACUAUCAGGUGGCUUCCAGAGCCCCCUCUACCCACAGCUCCCCCCGGUGAUCAAGCCUGCCUCCCAGGGUAACCCCCCCCCAAUGAAAGCAGAGGACAUGGGGGCAUCAGGGUGACAUGUACAGUGUGGGGAGGUGGGUGUGCUGCCCUGGGGCACUGGGCCUCACCUUCCUCGCUGUAGAUGGGUGCCGUGAGCAGG